RNAcentral lists this ribosomal RNA (253 nucleotides) under uncultured bacterium. RNAcentral's name for it is "partial 16S ribosomal RNA". It matches the Rfam family "Bacterial small subunit ribosomal RNA", at positions 524 to 776 of the family's 1533-position model. The record is from RNAcentral.
UACAGAGGUCUCAAGCGUUGUUCGGAUUCAUUGGGCGUAAAGGGCGCGUAGGCGGCAAUUCAAGUCAGCUGUGAAAUCUCUGGGCUUAACCCAGAACGGCCAGCUGAUACUGCUUUGCUAGAGUGCAGAAGGGGCAAUCGGAAUUCUUGGUGUAGCGGUGAAAUGCGUAGAUAUCAAGAGGAACACCUGAGGUGAAGACGGGUUGCUGGGCUGACACUGACGCUGAGGCGCGAAAGCCAGGGGAGCAAACGGG